GUAGGGAAUCUUCGGCAAUGGACGAAAGUCUGACCGAGCAACGCCGCGUGAGUGAAGAAGGUUUUCGGAUCGUAAAACUCUGUUGGUAGAGAAGAACGUUGGUGAGAGUGGAAAGCUCAUCAAGUGACGGUAACUACCCAGAAAGGGACGGCUAACGACGUGCCAGCAGCCGCGGUAAUACGUAGGUCCCGAGCGUUGUCCGGAUUUAUUGGGCGUAAAGCGAGCGCAGGUGGUUUAUUAAGUCUGGUGUAAAAGGCAGUGGCUCAACCAUUGUAUGCAUUGGAAACUGGUAGACUUGAGUGCAGGAGAGGAGAGUGGAAUUCCAUGUGUAGCGGUGAAAUGCGUAGAUAUAUGGAGGAACACCGGAGGCGAAAGCGGCUCUCUGGCCUGUAACUGACACUGAGGCUGGAAAGCGUGGGGAGCAAACAGGAUUAGAAACCCCGGUAGUCC
RNAcentral lists this ribosomal RNA (450 nucleotides) under uncultured bacterium. Its description in RNAcentral is "partial 16S ribosomal RNA". It matches the Rfam family "Bacterial small subunit ribosomal RNA", at positions 354 to 796 of the family's 1533-position model. The record is from RNAcentral.